This 429-nucleotide ribosomal RNA is filed under the name uncultured bacterium. Its description in RNAcentral is "bacterial SSU rRNA". It matches the Rfam family "Bacterial small subunit ribosomal RNA", at positions 30 to 453 of the family's 1533-position model. The record is from RNAcentral.
AUUGAACGCUGGCGGCAUGCCUAACACAUGCAAGUCGAACGGAAACGAUGGAAGCUUGCUUCCAGGCGUCGAGUGGCGGACGGGUGAGUAAUACUUAGGAAUCUGCCCAUUAGUGGGGGACAACUCGGGGAAACUCGAGCUAAUACCGCAUACGCCCUACGGGGGAAAGCGGAGGACCUUUCGGGGCUUCGCGCUAAUGGAUGAGCCUAAGUCGGAUUAGCUUGUUGGUGAGGUAAAGGCUCACCAAGGCGACGAUCCGUAGCUGGUCUGAGAGGACGAUCAGCCACACUGGGACUGAGACACGGCCCAGACUCCUACGGGAGGCAGCAGUGGGGAAUAUUGGACAAUGGGCGAAAGCCUGAUCCAGCAAUGCCGCGUGUGUGAAGAAGGCCUGCGGGUUGUAAAGCACUUUCAGUAGAGAAGAAAAGC